GACGAACGCUGGCGGCGUGCUUAACACAUGCAAGUCGAACGGAAAGGCCCUGCUUUGGUGGGGUGCUCGAGUGGCGAACGGGUGAGUAACACGUGAGUAACCUGCCCUUGACUUUGGGAUAACUUCAGGAAACUGGGGCUAAUACCGGAUAGGAGCUCCUGCUGCAUGGUGGGGGUUGGAAAGUUUCGGCGGUUGUGGAUGUACUCGCGGCUUAUCAGCUUGUUGGUGAGGUAGUGGCUGACCAGGGCUAUGACGGGUAGCCGGCCUGAGAGGGUGACCGGCCACAUUGGGACUGAGAUACGGCCCAGACUCCUACGGGAGGCAGCAGUGGGGAAUAGUGCACAAUGGGCGGAAGCCUGAUGCAGCAACGCCGCGUGCGGGAUGACGGCCUUCGGGUUGUAAACCGCUUUCGCCUGUGACGAAGCGUGAGUGACGGUAAUGGGUAAAGAAGCACCGGCUAACUACGUG
This 468-nucleotide ribosomal RNA is filed under the name uncultured bacterium. RNAcentral's name for it is "partial 16S ribosomal RNA". It matches the Rfam family "Bacterial small subunit ribosomal RNA", at positions 28 to 507 of the family's 1533-position model. The record is from RNAcentral.